GAUGAAGAACGCAGCGAAAUGCGAUAAGUAAUGUGAAUUGCAGAAUUCAGUGAAUCAUCGAAUCUUUGAACGCACAUUGCGCCCCCUGGUAUUCCGGGGGGCAUGCCUGUUCGAGCGUCAUUUCAACCCUCAAGCUCUGCUUGGUAUUGGGCGUCGCCGGGGAGUCUCUCUCCGGCGUGCCUCAAAGCCAUCGGCGGUGGUGCCUUUCUCUAAGCGUGGUAGAAUUUUUAUUCGCUUCUGAGUUGGGCUUCGCCUGCCGGACAAACCGGGCCCUCGCGGCCCACCUUCUCAGGUUGACCUCGGAUCAGGUAGGGAUACCCGCUGAACUUAAGCAUAUCAAUAAGCGGAGGA
Molecule: unclassified non-coding RNA, 351 nt
Filed under: soil metagenome
Description: partial contains 5.8S ribosomal RNA, internal transcribed spacer 2, and large subunit ribosomal RNA
Rfam family: 5.8S ribosomal RNA (bases 1-120)
Source: RNAcentral